Molecule: ribosomal RNA, 483 nt
Filed under: uncultured bacterium
Lineage: Bacteria
Description: partial 16S ribosomal RNA
Rfam family: Bacterial small subunit ribosomal RNA
Source: RNAcentral
AUUGAACGCUGGCGGCAGGCCUAACACAUGCAAGUCGAGCGGAUGAAGGGAGCUUGCUCCUGGAUUCAGCGGCGGACGGGUGAGUAAUGCCUAUGAAUCUGCCUGGUAGUGGGGGAUAACGUCCUGAAACGGGCGCUAAUACCGCAUACUUCCUGAUGCAGAUAGUGGGGGAUCUUCGGACCUCACGCUAUCAUAUGAGCCUAGUUCGGAGUAGCUAGUUGGUGGGGUAACGGCCUACCAAGGCGACGAUCCGUAACUGGGCUGAGAGGAGGAUCAGUCACACUGGAGCUGAGACACGGUCCAGACACCUACGGGAGGCCGAAGUGCGGAAUAUUGGACGAUGGGCGAAAGACUGAUCCAGCCAUGCAGGGUGUGUGAAGCAGGUCCUCGGAUGGUAAAGCACUUUAAGUUGGGAGGAAGGGCAGUAAGUUAAUACCUGGCUGAUUGGACGUUACCAAUAGAAUAAGCACCGGCUAACUUCGU